UCAGCUGCUGGCACGAGUUUUGCAGUGCUCCUGCUGCCAUCUCCAACUCCGCAACUUUGCUUUGUUUUGAAGUAAAUCCCUUUCUCUUUCAGGAUGUGUUCACAAGUUCCUGCUUUAACCUCCAUUUUUUUUAUGCAGAUCCUCUAUCACAGCAGCUGCCACUUCACUCGUACGUUCAAACAAUCUAAUCUGCUUCCGAACCUUUCUUGUGGCUGACAACGACUUCUCCACCAUCUUUAUGUUUUCACUGUCUUCGUCCGUUGUCCAAUUUUCUGGACCACUAUUGUCCAACUGAAACAACUGGUUCAGUUUCUCAAACUCAGGAACAUAGUUUAGGUCCAUCAGACUGUUUACAGAUUCAAACUGCAGUUCACUUGUAGCGUUGACACAUGCAGAGAGGAGAACUUUAUGCUCUUUUUCUAACAAGACGAAGGCUCUAUCUUGUUCUUAUUUACAAGUAUCCAUGUACAUCAUCUUCUCUUUCAUCGACUCCAUCCGCUCAUAGGUAAGAUUUAUAGCAUCCUUUGUUACCCUUAAUUUGCUAAGCAGAGCUUCAGCAAACUCAUCUGUGAAGCUCGAAAGUCCUUCAAAAUUCUCAGUCAGAAUCUUGUUCCUCAGCUGUAAUCCAUCACUAUACUUUUUAAAGUACAAUGAAACAUUGUCCAAAUCAGCUGAAACAACGUCACCAGUUUCCAUUUCAGUAUUUAUAGUACUACCAGUGUCAUGUGGGAAAGUUUUUCUUGCAUGUGAUUCACCCUGAUGUUGAAAGGUAGCAGUGAGAUAAAACCAUUCAAGUACGGGAGAGAAAAAAGAUCGACAUUGAACAGAAAGAUCAGACGUAAUUACUUACCAAGAUAGGAGAAAGUUGCAGCAUCUGUGAAUCUCCAUUAGCAAAACAAUCGUUGAG
Molecule: long non-coding RNA, 907 nt
Filed under: Linum usitatissimum (flax)
Lineage: Eukaryota; Viridiplantae; Streptophyta; Magnoliopsida; Malpighiales; Linaceae
Description: long non-coding RNA (LUSI_LNC004397)
Source: RNAcentral